Molecule: ribosomal RNA, 429 nt
Filed under: bacterium
Lineage: Bacteria
Description: partial 16S ribosomal RNA
Rfam family: Bacterial small subunit ribosomal RNA
Source: RNAcentral
UGGGGAAUUUUGGACAAUGGGCGAAAGCCUGAUCCAGCAAUGCCGCGUGUGUGAAGAAGGCCUUCGGGUUGUAAAGCACUUUUGUCCGGAAAGAAAUGGCUCUGGUUAAUACCUGGGGUCGAUGACGGUACCGGAAGAACAAGGACCGGCUAACUACGUGCCAGCAGCCGCGGUAAUACGUAGGGUCCAAGCGUUAAUCGGAAUUACUGGGCGUAAAGCGUGCGCAGGCGGUUGUGCAAGACCGAUGUGAAAUCCCCGAGCUUAACUUGGGAAUUGCAUUAGUGACUGCACGGCUAGAGUGUGUCAGAGGGGGGUAGAAUUCCACGUGUAGCAGUGAAAUGCGUAGAGAUGUGGAGGAAUACCGAUGGCGAAGGCAGCCCCCUGGGAUAACACUGACGCUCAUGAACGAAAGCGUGGGGAGCAAACAGG